GAUGAACGCUAGCGGGAGGCCUAACACAUGCAAGCCGAGCGGUAUUUGUUCUUCGGAACAGAGAGAGCGGCGCACGGGUGCGGAACACGUGUGCAACCUGCCUUUAUCUGGGGGAUAGCCUUUCGAAAGGAAGAUUAAUACCCCAUAAUAUAUUGAGUGGCAUCAUUUGAUAUUGAAAACUCCGGUGGAUAGAGAUGGGCACGCGCAAGAUUAGCUAGUUGGUGAGGUAACGGCUCACCAAGUCAAUGAACUUUAGGGGGCCUGAGAGGGUGAUCCCCCACACUGGUACUGAGACACGGACCAGACUCCUACGGGAGGCAGCAGUGAGGAAUAUUAGACGAUGGGUUAGCGCCUGAUCCAGCCAUCCCGCGGGAAGGACGACGGCCCUAGGGGUUGUAAACUUCUUUUGUAUAGGGAUAAACCUACUCUCGUGAGAGUAGCUGAAGGUACUAUACGAAUAAGCACCGGCUAACUCCGUG
RNAcentral lists this ribosomal RNA (479 nucleotides) under uncultured bacterium. RNAcentral's name for it is "partial 16S ribosomal RNA". It matches the Rfam family "Bacterial small subunit ribosomal RNA", at positions 28 to 507 of the family's 1533-position model. The record is from RNAcentral.